GCUCACAGUGCACCUUGAAGAAACCUUGGAGCAGGAAAAGUAAUUUCUGUUGCAGGUCACCGUACAUGACGUCAGAUACAUUAAAGAAUGCCUUCCUCAGGGAAAAGGGAAAUCCCGGCAAGGAACAUCAGGUCACUGUCAGGAUGCUCUACUAGGAAGCAAAACAGGGAUCGUCUGGAAGAGGUAUAGCAGACGAGCAAGUCAACUCAGCCAACUCACAAUGUGGUCCCUAACAAAGAAGCCAGAGGCGACAGCGGAACAAGAAACCUCUCUAAGACGACAUAAGGAAGAAAACAAAC
Molecule: long non-coding RNA, 299 nt
Organism: Pangasianodon hypophthalmus (striped catfish)
Lineage: Eukaryota; Metazoa; Chordata; Actinopteri; Siluriformes; Pangasiidae
Exons: 4
Source: RefSeq, a predicted model, not a curated record